RNAcentral lists this ribosomal RNA (581 nucleotides) under uncultured bacterium. RNAcentral describes it as "bacterial SSU rRNA". It matches the Rfam family "Bacterial small subunit ribosomal RNA", at positions 338 to 916 of the family's 1533-position model. The record is from RNAcentral.
CCUACGGGAGGCAGCAGUAAGGAAUAUUGGUCAAUGGAGGCAACUCUGAACCAGCCAUGCCGCGUGCAGGAAGAAGGCCCUAUGGGUCGUAAACUGCUUUUGUACCAGAGAAAACCCGAGUACGUGUACUCGGUUGAUAGUAUGGUAAGAAUAAGCAUCGGCUAACUUCGUGCCAGCAGCCGCGGUAAGACGAAGGAUGCAAGCGUUAUCCGGAUUCAUUGGGUUUAAAGGGUGCGUAGGCGGACUGAUAAGUCAGUGGUGAAAUCUCUCAGCUUAACUGAGAAACUGCCAUUGAUACUGUUAGUCUAGAGUAUAGAUGACGUUGGCGGAAUAUGACAUGUAGUGGUGAAAUACUUAGAUAUGUCAUAGAACACCGAUUGCGAAGGCAGCUAACGAAACUAUAACUGACGCUGAGGCACGAAAGUGCGGGGAUCAAACAGGAUUAGAUACCCUGGUAGUCCGCACCGUAAACGAUGAUUACUCGUUGUUGGCAAUAUGACCGUCAGCGACCAAGCGAAAGCGAUAAGUAAUCCACCUGGGGAGUACGCCGGCGAACGGUGAAACGUUAAAGGAAUUGACGG